RNAcentral lists this long non-coding RNA (762 nucleotides) under Sorghum bicolor (sorghum). RNAcentral's name for it is "long non-coding RNA (SBIC_LNC002174)". The record is from RNAcentral. Lineage: Eukaryota; Viridiplantae; Streptophyta; Magnoliopsida; Poales; Poaceae.
AGCAUAUUGCUCCGAGGUACUUUUAUCACCACAAGUUCUAUAAGAGGAGGGAAAUAAACAUUCGGCAAUUAAACAAGGUCAUGCGAGAACCUCACAGAUCAUUUGCAAAACUCUACCCGCAUAUAGCUUCCAUAGGUGCAUCUAUGGAAUUGGUAUGAGGUGGCUUAGACAGUUGCAGGAUUUAGGGGGAGGCCAUCGCCAAAGGCAUAAUCCAUGAUUGUGGUCCUAGAAAUCACGAGUUGGCUCUGAAGACCAACCCGAACAUCAACAGUUGUACUCUUUUUUUCCUUGAUGAGUUUUUCCCACUGGGUUUUCUCAUGCAAGGUAUUUAAUGAGGCAGUAGGUGUAGCAUAAGUGAUGCAUGUGAUGUACUCUUUUCUCCUACCCUUUUUUGCCAGUGGGUUUUUGGGGGAAGUUUUGAACGAGGCAUACACAUAGAAUAAAUUGGCCAAUGGGGAGUGUUGUGAAAUCAAAGUUAACAUUCAAUAUGAACAUAAGACUUUGAUGGUGGCCAAUUCAUGAGAGGGAAGUUUCUAGGAAAUUACUUGGGAGACUAUAGCAUUAGUCUCUCCUCCUCUAUAAAAGGAGAUGAUGGUGAGCUGAAGAAGAUGUACAUGUAUAGAACAUAUGCAAUGAAAUAAAGAGCUCCCUUCCCUCUCUACUAUGUUCAUUUGUGUGAGUGUGUGUGCUGAGAACAUGUAUAGAACGUAUCCAAUGAAAUAAAGAGCUCCCUUGCCUCUCUACUCAUGCAUUGUGGAUUCC